RNAcentral lists this long non-coding RNA (1959 nucleotides) under Populus trichocarpa (black cottonwood). Its description in RNAcentral is "long non-coding RNA (PTRI_LNC001472)". The record is from RNAcentral. Lineage: Eukaryota; Viridiplantae; Streptophyta; Magnoliopsida; Malpighiales; Salicaceae.
GUUCCCCUCCAAGGUUCCAUACCUAUGCGAACCCAAACUUACACACAAACUUAUCCUAACUCAAUUAGAGUUCAACGCAGCAUUAAUAACAAAAUCAACUUCAUAAUAUAAUUGAAUUGUCUUAAUACAAGAGUUUAUAUAAGUUCAGAGUUUUGGAGCACUAACUAGACAUAAAGGAAAGGUACAAAGUACAACCAAAAAGCAGGUUCUGAAGGUCCAACAAAAUGACCUGCUAUCAAGCUAUAAGCCUGAAAAGAUAAAUAAUGAGAUGGUGAGUUCAACAACUCAGUGAGUAGAUAAUGUUCAAUAUACACACACGAGGUAAUACAACAAUGAGAAAUAUAUAUACAAGUAUGGCUCUAGGUUCUUAUAGAAAGGUUUCUCAAAUAGGCCAUAACAAGAAUAUCAUAUGGUAAAGCUCGUCAGAAAAUCAAAAUGCAAUGAGCAUGAGGCUCCGUACCGUGGGAUGAUCAGUCCACACAGGUUGGUGACUCCCCCGACCAACUAGGGUUCAGAUACGAUGUGCACAAAGACUAACACUACCCUGUUAGCAUGAGUAUUCUAACUGACAUACCAUAGGUUCAUAAUCAUAAUCAAACAGAUAUAUUCAUAUCUCAAGGCUCAACUCAUGACAUCAAUCAAAUGAGAAGCUAUCAAUUCAGAAUAUAUAUACUGGUUCAUAUCAAUAAUUCGGAUUCAACAAUUGAUCAUGCUUAUCAUAACAAGGAUAAUAAUCAACAUAUAUAUUAUCAAGAAGCAUGAUCCAAUUCAUAUUAACAAAUCAAGUAUUUAUAAUAUUUCUCAUGCAUAUGGAAAAUUAUCCACUCACCUGACUCGAAAGCAACAAAACUCAAAGCUGAUAUCGAAGGAAAUCCUACUGACGUCUCGCCGGUAGAAUAUCAGGAUUAUCUGAAUAUAAAGGAGACAUAUUCAAGAAUGACUCAAAAGAGCAUAUAACCUAUUUAAUACACUUAUCUAAGGGUGUAUUCCAUAACCCUAAAUGUUUUUAGACUAAACUAGUUAUCUUUCCUAAAAACCCAACAUUUAACUGUUUUCCCGAAAUCUAAUCCAUAAUAAAACUAAUAAUUAAAUUGGUAAUAAUUCACUAAAUAACCCUCAAUUAUUCAUCAAAACAAUCUGAAAAAGGUAAUAUUACAGCUAGGGACUAAUCUGUAAUUUAUCAUAUUCUUAAGGGUCAAAUUGCAACUUUUGUCAAAUUGAAGGACCAAACUGAAAUUUAUCAUAAAUCCAUGAAUAUACUGAAAUUCUGACCAUAAUUAGUCCUCAUUUCUGUCCAGAUCAUCUCAUUAUACUCCAAGGACCAUUCUGGAAUUUUACCAAAUUUUUAGGGUCAAAUUGUAAUUUUUGUCAAAUUGGAGGACUAAAUUGAAAGUGUUAAAUUCUCUUAUCUAUACAGUAAUUCUGUCCAUAAUUCAUAUGUUAUUCUGUUCAGAAUCUCGGAAUAUGCUCCAGGGACCAAUUUGUAAUUUUCCAAAGUUCGGGGACUAAACUGUAAUUUUCCAAAAUUGAGGGACCAAACCGAAAUUUUGUCAUCUUCAACCUCCAACCCAGAAUUCUCACAGAUUACCUACUGUUCUUGCCAAAUUUAUAACUCAACAUUCACCAUUUACACAAUUCAUAACUCAAAAUCAUCACAAUCUUCCAUAAUCAACUCAUUAAUCAAUUACCCAUAACAAUCAACCUUAUAACAUUCAAUUUAAUUCAUCAAUUAAACCCAAAACACAAAUUUUCAAAACCCUAACAUUUAUCAAAACCAAAAUUAAAAGCUCAAUAAUACAAAUUUAUACAUUUAACAACCUAAAUCUUACCUUUUUACUUAUUUCCUCCAACUCCUUUCUAUUUCCUUUCUAAUUUCCCUCUUUUCUCUUCUUCUUCUUCUUUCUCCCUUCUCCCUUCUCUCUCACGGUUUUUCACUCAAAAUAUUCAGAUCUCUUCUUU